Long non-coding RNA from Momordica charantia (bitter melon), 1208 nucleotides. RefSeq lists it as uncharacterized. Lineage: Eukaryota; Viridiplantae; Streptophyta; Magnoliopsida; Cucurbitales; Cucurbitaceae. The record is from RefSeq and is a predicted model, not a curated record.
CUCGGAACCUAGCUGGACUUCGAUGGAAAAAGCUUUAGCAGCCAGCUUGUGAGCUAACGUGUUUGACCAUCGGGAGACAUGGGCAAACCGAACUGUAGCUGAAGAAGAUAACUCCCUUAUGUCAUGAAUUAGGGUCUCAUUCUCACUGAAAUCUUCAAUUUCACCUUCGAUCAUCUUUAUUGUUGUGAGAGAAUUGGAUUCAAUGACAAAUUGACCCAAGUUGUGAUGGAGACCCAAAAGAACACCCUCUAAAAUCGCAGAAAUUUCACCUCGCAGGGGAGAAAGCAGAAACGCUUUGAGUUUGAUCUUGGCCACAAUCACCUCGCCACUUUCAUCACGAUAAAUUUGCCCCAGACCCGUGCUUCCCGAAACUGUCUGACAAGAGGCGUCGCCAUUUAUUUUGAACCAGCCCAGAUUAGGAGGCCGCCAACGCUCCAAACAUCCCUAUCAUUAACAGUCCGAGACUGGCAAAGGUGGUUCCUGUCAUUCCAGAGAGACCAGCACGUAACACAGGCAAUUUCGAGAUCCUUCUUGCACAGAGUACUAUCCAGAUUUCGGGCUCUUUUACAAGUGAAUAAAGCGUGAUCAAUCGACUCAAUCGACUUAGAGCACUGAGGGCAUAAAGGUGAAAUUCCAAUCCCUUUUUCUCAAGAUUUGCUCUAGUUGGGAUACACCCAUUGUAGAUUCGCCAGAUAAAAAUCUUAAUCUUCGAGGGAAUUUUAAGCUUCCAUAGUGUUUGCCACCACUGUGUGAUUUGAUUAUGGCUUGAAGACGUUGCAUUACCUUUGAGAAACAUGUGGAAUUUGUAACCACUUUUAACUGAGUAUUUCCCUCUCUUGUCAAAAUGCCACAGCCAAGAAUCUUGAAUUCCCGAUUUACUAAUAGGAAUCUCAUUAACUCUAUUCCUCAGUUGAUCAAUAUCCCACUCAAAAUUUGGGGUGAUGAAAUCAACCACCCUCCUAGAGUCAGAAUCAUCACUAUGAGAAGCGAGUUGGAAAGUGCCCUCCCUUGAGAUCCAUUUGUCUUUAAGAAACCAAAUCGAAUUGUCAUUUCCCACCUUCCAUCUUAGCCCUUGGGAAAGAAGAUCUCUUCCUCAAAGAAGGCCUUUCCACAUAUAAGAAUCAGGUGAAUGCUCAUUCACUUCAAGAACCGAAACAUCCGGGAAAUAUUUACCCUUUAGUAUUUUGGACAGAAGCAAAUUUGACAUC